AUACGGAGGGCGCGAACGUUGCUCGGAAUCAUUGGGCGUAAGGCGCACGUAGGCGGCCUGAUAAGUCGGAUGUGAAAGCCCACGGCUCAACCGUGGAAGUGCAUUCGAAACUGUCAGGCUUGAGUAUGGGAGAGGGUUGCGGAAUUCCCGGUGUAGAGGUGAAAUUCGUAGAUAUCGGGAGGAACACCAGCGGCGAAGGCGGCAGCCUGGACCAAUACUGACGCUGAGGUGCGAAAGCGUGGGGAGCAAACAGGAUUAGAAACCCCAGUAGUCC
This 274-nucleotide ribosomal RNA is filed under the name uncultured bacterium. RNAcentral's name for it is "partial 16S ribosomal RNA". It matches the Rfam family "Bacterial small subunit ribosomal RNA", at positions 523 to 796 of the family's 1533-position model. The record is from RNAcentral.